RNAcentral lists this ribosomal RNA (96 nucleotides) under uncultured bacterium. RNAcentral describes it as "partial 16S ribosomal RNA". The record is from RNAcentral.
CUCCUUGCACACACCGCCCGUCGUUUCAUCGAAGUUGGCCUUUGGUGAGGUAGUGUCUAAUUGGCAUUAUCGAGUUUGAGGUCAGUGACGAGGGAA